RNAcentral lists this ribosomal RNA (591 nucleotides) under Oxalobacter sp. Chnp3-1. RNAcentral describes it as "bacterial SSU rRNA". It matches the Rfam family "Bacterial small subunit ribosomal RNA", at positions 62 to 653 of the family's 1533-position model. Lineage: Bacteria; Pseudomonadati; Pseudomonadota; Betaproteobacteria; Burkholderiales; Oxalobacteraceae. The record is from RNAcentral.
UCGAACGGCAGCGCGGGGCAACCUGGCGGCGAGUGGCGAACGGGGAGAAUACAUCGGAACGUACCCAGAAGUGGGGGAAACGUAGCGAAAGUUACGCUAAUACCGCAUACGUUCUACGGAAGAAAGUGGGGGAUCUUCGGACCUCAUGCUUUUGGAGCGGCCGAUGUCUGAUUAGCUAGUUGGUGAGGUAAAGGCUCACCAAGGCGACGAUCAGUAGCUGGUCUGAGAGGACGACCAGCCACACUGGGACUGAGACACGGCCCAGACUCCUACGGGAGGCAGCAGUGGGGAAUUUUGGACAAUGGGCGCAAGCCUGAUCCAGCAAUGCCGCGUGAGUGAAGAAGGCCUUCGGGUUGUAAAGCUCUUUUGUCAGGGAAGAAACGGUUGAGGCUAAUAUCCUCGGCUAAUGACGGUACCUGAAGAAUAAGCACCGGCUAACUACGUGCCAGCAGCCCGCGGUAAUACGUAGGGUGCAAGCGUUAAUCGGAAUUACUGGGCGUAAAGCGUGCGCAGGCGGUUUUGUAAGUCUGACGUGAAAUCCCCGGGCUCAACCUGGGAAUUGCGUUGGAACUGCAAGGCUGGAGUCUGCAG